Molecule: ribosomal RNA, 1621 nt
Filed under: Salmonella enterica
Lineage: Bacteria; Pseudomonadati; Pseudomonadota; Gammaproteobacteria; Enterobacterales; Enterobacteriaceae
Description: partial 23S ribosomal RNA
Rfam family: Bacterial large subunit ribosomal RNA
Source: RNAcentral
CUGCGGCAGCGACACUCAGGUGUUGUUGGGUAGGGGAGCGUUCUGUAAGCCUGUGAAGGUGUGUCGUGAGGCAUGCUGGAGGUAUCAGAAGUGCGAAUGCUGACAUAAGUAACGAUAAAGCGGGUGAAAAGCCCGCUCGCCGGAAGACCAAGGGUUCCUGUCCAACGUUAAUCGGGGCAGGGUGAGUCGACCCCUAAGGCGAGGCCGAAAGGCGUAGUCGAUGGGAAACGGGUUAAUAUUCCCGUACUUGGUGUUACUGCGAAGGGGGGACGGAGAAGGCUAUGUUGGCCGGGCGACGGUUGUCCCGGUUUAAGCGUGUAGGUGUGUGUUCCAGGUAAAUCCGGUUCACUUUAACACUGAGGCGUGAUGACGAGGCACUACGGUGCUGAAGCAACAAAUGCCCUGCUUCCAGGAAAAGCCUCUAAGCAUCAGGUAACAUCAAAUCGUACCCCAAACCGACACAGGUGGUCAGGUAGAGAAUACCAAGGCGCUUGAGAGAACUCGGGUGAAGGAACUAGGCAAAAUGGUGCCGUAACUUCGGGAGAAGGCACGCUGACACGUAGGUGAAGUGAUUUACUCAUGGAGCUGAAGUCAGUCGAAGAUACCAGCUGGCUGCAACUGUUUAUUAAAAACACAGCACUGUGCAAACACGAAAGUGGACGUAUACGGUGUGACGCCUGCCCGGUGCCGGAAGGUUAAUUGAUGGGGUCAGCGCAAGCGAAGCUCCUGAUCGAAGCCCCGGUAAACGGCGGCCGUAACUAUAACGGUCCUAAGGUAGCGAAAUUCCUUGUCGGGUAAGUUCCGACCUGCACGAAUGGCGUAAUGAUGGCCAGGCUGUCUCCACCCGAGACUCAGUGAAAUUGAACUCGCUGUGAAGAUGCAGUGUACCCGCGGCAAGACGGAAAGACCCCGUGAACCUUUACUAUAGCUUGACACUGAACAUUGAGCCUUGAUGUGUAGGAUAGGUGGGAGGCUUUGAAGCGUGGACGCCAGUCUGCGUGGAGCCGACCUUGAAAUACCACCCUUUAAUGUUUGAUGUUCUAACGUGGACCCGUUACCCGGGUUGCGGACAGUGUCUGGUGGGUAGUUUGACUGGGGCGGUCUCCUCCUAAAGAGUAACGGAGGAGCACGAAGGUUGGCUAAUCCUGGUCGGACAUCAGGAGGUUAGUGCAAUGGCAUAAGCCAGCUUGACUGCGAGCGUGACGGCGCGAGCAGGUGCGAAAGCAGGUCAUAGUGAUCCGGUGGUUCUGAAUGGAAGGGCCAUCGCUCAACGGAUAAAAGGUACUCCGGGGAUAACAGGCUGAUACCGCCCAAGAGUUCAUAUCGACGGCGGUGUUUGGCACCUCGAUGUCGGCUCAUCACAUCCUGGGGCUGAAGUAGGUCCCAAGGGUAUGGCUGUUCGCCAUUUAAAGUGGUACGCGAGCUGGGUUUAGAACGUCGUGAGACAGUUCGGUCCCUAUCUGCCGUGGGCGCUGGAGAACUGAGGGGGGCUGCUCCUAGUACGAGAGGACCGGAGUGGACGCAUCACUGGUGUUCGGGUUGUCAUGCCAAUGGCACUGCCCGGUAGCUAAAUGCGGAAGAGAUAAGUGCUGAAAGCAUCUAAGCACGAAACUUGCCCCGA